AAGUCGUAACAAGGUUUCCGUAGGUGAACCUGCGGAAGGAUCAUUAACACGUAUCCAACGUUAAACCCCCUGUGAACCUAUUGUACGAGUUACAUCCACGUCAUAAACCGGCAAUCUCUGGUAAAUCAUCGCCGAACAGUUUUGAUUCAGAGACCUCUGGGUGGCAUUCCUCUGCUUGUUACUCGCUAUGUACGGAUGGCGCAGUACCGAUCGCUGGAGGCCGACACGCCGGCGACCAGGUCACUGGGCUACGACCCCCUGAUCACAACCUUUGCAUGAAAACUGGCCUGCGGCCACCCCUAAUGCUUGAACAACUGUUAACAAUGGAUAUCUUGGUUCUC
This 341-nucleotide unclassified non-coding RNA is filed under the name fungal sp. RNAcentral describes it as "partial internal transcribed spacer region". The stretch from base 1 to 46 matches the Rfam family "Eukaryotic small subunit ribosomal RNA", at positions 1786 to 1831 of the family's 1831-position model. The record is from RNAcentral. Lineage: Eukaryota; Fungi.